RNAcentral lists this small RNA (438 nucleotides) under Histoplasma ohiense. RNAcentral describes it as "hypothetical lncRNA". Lineage: Eukaryota; Fungi; Ascomycota; Eurotiomycetes; Onygenales; Ajellomycetaceae. The record is from RNAcentral.
CUCUAACUACUAACUUAAAAAAAUGUCUCCUUCACUGGUAUCAACAAUCUCUAGUGGUAACUCAAUUUCUUGCAGAUUUUCUGCAUCAUUUUCUGUUCUUUCUCAUCAUUCUCUGCCACCUGCAUGUCCUUGUCCUUGUCAAUGUCAGCGAACUUGGGGAUUCUGAUUGGAGUUUUCUCAGGAGGGAGAGUAGAGUCAAUAUGAUGUUUAGACUGGAAGAUUUCUGAAUGUUCACAGACAGUUUGUUUACUCAUCUAUAUCAUCAUUGUCAACUUCUGCAUACAUAAAUAUGGGAAGCAUUUCACCAAUUCUAACUUACAUUUUUUUCAUCACAGAAAACAUCCAAACCAGGGCUGGUCAUCAGAAUCUCAGAGGGAAGAUAGAGAGAACUAGCAGAAGUAGCAGUGACAGUGACAGCAGCAGCAGCAGCAGCAGCAG